UGGGGAAUCUUGCGCAAUGGGCGAAAGCCUGACGCAGCCAUGCCGCGUGAAUGAUGAAGGUCUUAGGAUUGUAAAAUUCUUUCACCGGGGACGAUAAUGACGGUACCCGGAGAAGAAGCCCCGGCUAACUUCGUGCCAGCAGCCGCGGUAAUACGAAGGGGGCUAGCGUUGCUCGGAAUUACUGGGCGUAAAGGGAGCGUAGGCGGACUGUUAAGUUAGAGGUGAAAGCCCAGGGCUCAACCUUGGAAUUGCCUUUGAUACUGGCAGGCUUGAGUACGGAAGAGGUAUGUGGAACUCCGAGUGUAGAGGUGAAAUUCGUAGAUAUUCGGAAGAACACCAGUGGCGAAGGCGACAUACUGGUCCGUUACUGACGCUGAGGCUCGAAGGCGUGGGGAGCAAACAGG
RNAcentral lists this ribosomal RNA (404 nucleotides) under bacterium. RNAcentral's name for it is "partial 16S ribosomal RNA". It matches the Rfam family "Bacterial small subunit ribosomal RNA", at positions 355 to 776 of the family's 1533-position model. The record is from RNAcentral.